Molecule: ribosomal RNA, 530 nt
Filed under: Leeuwenhoekiella sp.
Lineage: Bacteria; Pseudomonadati; Bacteroidota; Flavobacteriia; Flavobacteriales; Flavobacteriaceae
Description: bacterial SSU rRNA
Rfam family: Bacterial small subunit ribosomal RNA
Source: RNAcentral
AAGGCGCCGUUACAUGGCAGUCGAACGGAUNACAGCUUCCUUCGGGAAGCUGACGAGUGGCGCACGGGUGCGUAACGCGUAUGCAAUCUGCCUUGUACUGGAGUAUAGCCCAGGGAAACUUGGAUUAAUCCUCCAUAGUCUAUAUGAUUGGCAUCAUUUAUAUAGUAAAGGUUACGGUACAAGAUGAGCAUGCGUCCUAUUAGCUAGUAGGUGUGGUAACGGCACACCUAGGCUUCGAUAGGUAGGGGUCCUGAGAGGGAGAUCCCCCACACUGGUACUGAGACACGGACCAGACUCCUACGGGAGGCAGCAGUGAGGAAUAUUGGACAAUGGGCGAAAGCCUGAUCCAGCCAUGCCGCGUGCAGGAAGACGGCCCUAUGGGUUGUAAACUGCUUUUAUACGGGAAGAAUAAGGCCUACGUGUAGGCUGAUGACGGUACCGUAANAAUAAGCACCGGCUAACUCCGUGCCAGCAGCCGCGGUAAUACGGAGGGUGCAAGCGUUAUCCGGAAUCAUUGGGUUUAAANGGUC